This is a non-coding RNA of Hydra vulgaris (swiftwater hydra), 349 nucleotides long. Lineage: Eukaryota; Metazoa; Cnidaria; Hydrozoa; Anthoathecata; Hydridae. The record is from RefSeq and is a predicted model, not a curated record.
UUUAAUAUAACUAGGAGUUUCUUAUAAUAAUACUUAGACACUGAAAACCAGUACAUUUGAAAUUAACUACUGAGGAGCAAUAGAGUAUGAGGAACUUUUUAAAGAAACCUGUUGAGAUUUUAGUACUUCUUAUUUGUUUUAUGCAACUAUAUUCAAUAAAGUACGAUUCCAUCACAGAUGAUGUAAAUAUCUUAUGCCCACAAAUUGUUAAUGAUUCUGUUAAAAAUGGUUUUCAUAAUCGCAUUGUGGCCUGUUCUUUUGUUGGAAAUAAUUGUAGCUAUGAACUACAAGGUUUUUUCAAAAGUGUAGACAUCCGGCUUCAAAAUGUUCUUAUUACUUCUUUAAAUUU